CUUCCCCACCAAAAAAAAAAAAAAAAAAAAAGAAAGAAAGAAAGGAAAGAAGAAAAGAAAUAGAAGCUUUUUAAGUGUUCUUUCAGCCUUCAGAGAAAAUAACCAGUGGUUGACUUUGCACAUAUCAUUUUCACUCCAAGUUGCUAUAAUUUUCAGUAGGUACUGUACCUAAGUCACAUUAUCUUCUAAAUUACUCUUCAGGCACAGAGAGAGAAAACUAUAUACUAGCAGGACUUCUCCAAGAGGCCUAGAAGAGAGUUGAGGCCAGUCUGGAAAGCUGCCUUGGUCUUUGUUCUGAUUGGUUCACUGCUCAGCACUGCCACUGGAAGGCAGGCACAGGAAGGGAGAGAAAAUGAAAGGCACAUACUCUACAGCGAUUUUAGGUAUUUGUUCCAGAGUUUUGCACAGACAAUUUGUUCUAUAUUAAUAAAAUACCUGGAUACUCAGAAUAAUAAUAAUUAUAACUAUGGGUACCUGUUAAUGACAAUCUCUAGUGAUAGUAUCUUCUUAAAAUGAACUUAGAAGAGUUUCUUUGUAUAUUCACAAUGUCUUGAGCUUAGAAACGUGCAAUCUUGGAGCUGGAAGGGACCUUAAAUAUUAUUUUAUACAAAUCCCACAUUUUGGGGGUGAACGAAACUGGUGCCUAGAGAAGUGAAGAGAUUUGCCUGAAAUUACCGUGAAGAGAAUUCCGAAUCCUGGACCAGUUUGUGUGGUUUUCGUCACUGUAGUUAUUAUUGUUACUGUUUUCUAAAUUGCAGUUUCUUGCUUCUCCUGAACUAGAGGAUGUUUGGACAUUUAUAUAAACAGCAUAUUAAAAGGUACUAAUUUCAUUUUAUCUACAUUAGUGCCUGCUGAAUAUUCAAUAUUAAGAAAUUUCCUCUUCAUCUUGAAUAAGCAUGAGGAGGUCGUGGCAGUCCAAAUGUCCCGCUGACCUCAGUCCCUCAAUUGCAGGCCCUCACUAGAGGUGUGGCUCAGCACCAAAGGAAGGGACAGUGGUUUCUAUCACCAGCAUCCCAGGACAGGGCAUGUUCCAGCUGGGCCAUUCCUGUCUGAUCAGAGAUCCUACUGACACUAGAAGGAAAAGAAGGGACGGAUAUAUUUCUUAGUUCCUAUUUUAUGAGCAUAUAUUAUUAUCGCUUGUGCUUUUUUAUGUACAAGCACAGCCUUAAAGAUUCUCCAGUUGAUGGCUUUGCUCUUAUUUUCCCUCACUCUGCACGUCAUCUGCUGUCUGAGUUUGGGUUUAGGGGAUGGUGAUGGGUGUGAGAAAGAACAGACAGCUGGUCAUGCCCAGAUUUAGCGCCACAUCAGCUUAACUAAUAAAGAGUCACUUUCGGCAGAAAGUUAGUAUUUGCAAAGGAAAGACCUUAAACUCCAAAGUCACAGACUGUGGCAUUUAGAGGCAGCAGUCACAGCAUGAAUGAUAACUUGAGGGGGGAUACUGUUCGAUGUUUGAACUAUCUGAAGGGAUGUUCCAAUUGGUUGGAGAGCUUAUUGAGUGUGGCCUCUAUUGAUCAUAUACUAUUUUCAGAUAUUAGCUCGUGUUUGAAGAUCGAAGGAAAUGAGCAAGUGUUUCAGUGUUUCUUGGUAAAUUCAUUCCAUAGCAUUAUAACUACAGGGAAAGUUACUAUCUGUUCAUUCUAGUUCAGUCAGUAGCACCACCGUAGUCACAGAUACAGUGGAGGAAGACAGGUUUAACUAGGGAAGUAUCAGUUUUAGUCAGGACUGAGUUUUUUAUUAAUUACAGCAAAGACACUGGAUUAAAGAAAAUUCAAGACUAUUACUGAAUUAUUAGAAUAGCUGUUCACUUUUAAGGACUCUUUUAGUACCUCUCUAAAAAAGGUAAUAUGAAAAGUCAUUUAAUUUGAAGUCAGCUUUGAAGGCUCCAAGAAUGUGUUACUUACCAAUUACAAUUUAAUCUGGAAUGAAAACUAUGCAAAUGGAUUUUUAAGUUAAUGUUUGAGAAGGAAUUGUCUUUGUUUCUAUAUUUUAUAUUAUUUAUUAUAGAUAUUCAUUCACUCAUUCAAGGAGCACUUUUUGGGUCACCCAACACUUGGGAAUGCAUUCUGCUAGGCACUGGAGUGUCUGCAAAGGUACGGAUGACAGUGUUCCUUACUAAAGGCGCUUACAGUGAGAGAAGACACGAUGACGUGUGAGUUUGAGCUGCUGGAGAAGUUACGUGACGUCCUAACGUACACGUAAGAACAGGCACACAGCUUCUCCCUUUCCUCCUAAUGUCCACACAGAAUGUUAUUAAUGAACAAAAGGAGUAAAAUAUACUAACGUACUCCCUAAAUAUUUCCUAAAUCCUGGUCUUAUAUCUCACAGAACAGUCACCUAGGAGUUUUAGUGUUGGGUCGAAGAGAACCGUUAGUAGAGCCACACAGAAGCCUUGGUGGCAGUGAGAGCGGUAGGAAUGGGGCAGACGCUGUCCUGGGGAUCGCUGUACGGGUCCCUCUGGGAAGCUUAGCGGGGGUGCUUCUUUGACCUGUUUGCUACCUUGUGGGCUAGACGCCCACAGCACUGCGCAGGCUGCCUACCUGUGAGGUCACAGUAAGGAGGAUGCAGACGGAAGGGAAGGGGAGGAAGACAAUUCCGGCUCCAUCUCCAGGCUGCAGUGGGGCCAACCUGCAGGCAGCACCAUUUUGGGGACACCGUGUAGCCACUCUGAUGAUAUAAAACCCUGAGAGAAUUGGCUUAGGUCUGCCAGAAGAACAAAAACGACACUGCGACAUCCACCGGGAUAACAAGCUUAAGUGGGAUGUGUGAAAUGCUUUAGAAAGUUUAUUGUGAUUUCUGUUUCUGAAAGGAAGCAGCCUCUCUUUAUUCAUUAACUCCGUCAUCAUAAGAAUGUUUAUAUGAACCAUUUUCAGAUCCAGUAAUAAGGAAAAAGUCCUUUUACAGAUGGAGAUUCCAUCAAAAACAGAUGUUAUUUCAGCAGGAGUUGCCACAGUGACAACAAUUGGGUGUGAAGACAUCAAAGAAUCAUCCUCUUGAACAGCUGUUAACCAAUCAAUAAAUGGAACCACUUCCAUUGAAGAGAAAUGAGGCAUCUACAAACUUGCUCAGAGUCACAUUCCCAUGUAGAGAAUUUGGCUUUCCAGUUGCUUCGCAUUGAUUCUUUCUCAAAGUAAGGGCAGAAACAGAAAUGGAGAAGUCAGUUGUUGGUUGGUUUGUUUUCUUGUCGCCUUAAUUUCAUCCCUACAGACACCCAUAUGGGUGUUACCCUUAAAGUCUUUGCUACUACUACUCAAGCUUACUAAUAAAGCAUUUCUGCUACUGAUAGAAGUGUCACACCAUUCUGAUUAUAACCUUAUUUUAUUUUAAAAGUAAAACAUGCCCCCAAUAUUAAAAAAAUUAUUUAUGGAAGGAGCACCAGUGUCUCAUUUUAACUUCUGGAGAAUCUAGAAUUAAUGUUGUACAAGAAUGGGAAGAUGGAAGCACAUGGGACUCUGACAGCAUCAUUUAUCCCUAUUAUUUCCCAACUCAUUGAUGAUAG
Long non-coding RNA from Equus caballus (horse), 3496 nucleotides. RefSeq lists it as uncharacterized. NCBI's taxonomy places the organism in Eukaryota, Metazoa, Chordata, Mammalia, Perissodactyla, Equidae. The record is from RefSeq and is a predicted model, not a curated record.